Molecule: ribosomal RNA, 774 nt
Filed under: uncultured Neocallimastigales
Lineage: Eukaryota; Fungi; Neocallimastigomycota; Neocallimastigomycetes; Neocallimastigales
Description: partial large subunit ribosomal RNA
Rfam family: Eukaryotic large subunit ribosomal RNA
Source: RNAcentral
GUACACGCUGUGACUAGCAUAUCAAUAAGCGGAGGAAAAGAAACUAACAAGGAUUCCCCUAGUAACGGCGAGUGAAGCGGGAAGAGCUCAAAUUUGAAAUCUUAAAGGGUUUCCCUUUACGAAUUGUAGUUUAAAGAAGUGUUUUCUGUUGAGGUUUUGGUAAAAGUUCUUUGGAAUAGGACAUCAUAGAGGGUGAGAAUCCCGUAUUUGACCUUUACUUUCAACUUUGUGAUACACUUUCAAAGAGUCGGAUUGUUUGGGAAUGCAGUCCAAAAUGGGUGGUAAAUUUCAUCUAAAGCUAAAUAUUGGCGAGAGACCGAUAGCGAACAAGUACCGUGAGGGAAAGAUGAAAAGAACUUUGAAAAGAGAGUUAAACAGUACGUGAAAUUGUCAAAAGGGAAGCGUUUGACACCAGUGUUGUUUUUCUGAAAAUCAAUUAAAGAACUGUUUAUGCUAAGCUGUUUAGACUUUAUCAGCUAUCUGUUUAGUUUUGAGCUUUUCUUUAAUGCACUUUUCAGUUAACAAGUCAACAUCAAUUUCUUUUGCUGUAAAAAAGCUUGAGGAAGGUGGCUUGAGAUUCGUCUUAAGUGUUUAUAGCCUCUUGCCUAUGCAGUCGGAGAGAUUGAGGUCUGCAGCGUAGAUCCUUCGGGGCUAAAUGCAUUUGUGCUAAGUUAUAGCAUUUUAUAGACAACUUGUUGACUAUGAUUUGUCUUGUAGCUUACUCGCUUAUGUUAUUUUACCUACGCUUAGGAUGUUAAAGAUGUAGCACAUCAU